RNAcentral lists this ribosomal RNA (271 nucleotides) under uncultured bacterium. RNAcentral describes it as "partial 16S ribosomal RNA". It matches the Rfam family "Bacterial small subunit ribosomal RNA", at positions 335 to 604 of the family's 1533-position model. The record is from RNAcentral.
AUCCUACGGGAGGCAGCAGUGAGGAAUAUUGGUCAAUGGGCGAGAGCCUGAACCAGCCAAGUCGCGUGAGGGACGACGGCCCUACGGGUUGUAAACCUCUUUUGCCGGGGGACAAACGGCGGCACGCGUGCCGUCCUGAGGGUACCCGGAGAAAAAGCAUCGGCUAACUCCGUGCCAGCAGCCGCGGUAAUACGGAGGAUGCGAGCGUUAUCCGGAUUUAUUGGGUUUAAGGGGUGCGCAGGCGGAGGUGCAAGUCAGAUGUGAAAACUCA